GUUUGCACCGAGCCUUUACCGAAAGAUUUUUGGCCUAAAAUAAUGGCGCGGUGAUGGUCUUGCAAGGCGCCGGCCACAAUUUCGGAAGCUGAAGCGGAGCCUUCGUUUAUCAUCACCACAAUCGGUAAACCGUUUGUGAUAUCGCCCGAAUGCGCCGAAUAUUUGACAUUGUCUUGUUCGUUGCGCGAACGGGUGGAAACAAUUUCGCCUUCGCUUAAAAAUAAAUCGGAAAUGGCAAUGGCCUGAUCGAGCAAACCGCCCGGAUUGUUGCGUA
RNAcentral lists this non-coding RNA (274 nucleotides) under bovine gut metagenome. The record is from RNAcentral.